RNAcentral lists this ribosomal RNA (253 nucleotides) under uncultured bacterium. RNAcentral's name for it is "partial 16S ribosomal RNA". It matches the Rfam family "Bacterial small subunit ribosomal RNA", at positions 524 to 776 of the family's 1533-position model. The record is from RNAcentral.
UACAGAGGGUGCGAGCGUUAAUCGGAGUUACUGGGCGUAAAGGGCGCGUAGGCGGCACAGUUAGUCAGGCGUGAAAUUCCUGGGCUCAACCUGGGGAUUGCGCUUGAGACGGCUGCGCUUGAGGACGGAAGAGGGUCGCGGAAUUCCCAGUGUAGAGGUGAAAUUCGUAGAUAUUGGGAAGAACACCGGUGGCGAAGGCGGCGACCUGGUCCGUUACUGACGCUGAGGCGCGACAGCGUGGGGAGCAAACAGG